RNAcentral lists this ribosomal RNA (605 nucleotides) under uncultured Lachnospiraceae bacterium. Its description in RNAcentral is "bacterial SSU rRNA". It matches the Rfam family "Bacterial small subunit ribosomal RNA", at positions 87 to 706 of the family's 1533-position model. The record is from RNAcentral. Lineage: Bacteria; Bacillati; Bacillota; Clostridia; Lachnospirales; Lachnospiraceae.
UGAACUUAGUGGCGGACGGGUGAGUAACGCGUGAGCAACCUGCCUUUCAGAGGGGGAUAACAUUUGGAAACAGAUGCUAAUACCGCAUAAGAUUACAGUACCGCAUGAUACAGUGAUCAAAGGAGCAAUCCGCUGAAAGAUGGGCUCGCGUCCGAUUAGAUAGUUGGUGAGGUAACGGCUCACCAAGUCGACGAUCGGUAGCCGGACUGAGAGGUUGAACGGCCACAUUGGGACUGAGACACGGCCCAGACUCCUACGGGAGGCAGCAGUGGGGAAUAUUGCACAAUGGGCGAAAGCCUGAUGCAGCAACGCCGCGUGAGGGAAGACGGUUUUCGGAUUGUAAACCUCUGUUUUCGGUGACGAACAAAUGACGGUAACCGAGUGGGAAGCCACGGCUAACUACGUGCCAGCAGCCGCGGUAAUACGUAGGUGGCAAGCGUUAUCCGGAAUUACUGGGUGUAAAGGGAGCGCAGGCGGGAUAGCAAGUCAGCUGUGAAAACUAUGGGCUCAACCCAUAAACUGCAGUUGAAACUGUUAUUCUUGAGUGGAGUAGAGGCAAGCGGAAUUCCGAGUGUAGCGGUGAAAUGCGUAGAUAUUCGGAGGAA